GUGGGGAAUUUUGGACAAUGGGCGCAAGCCUGAUCCAGCAAUGCCGCGUGCAGGAAGAAGGCCUUCGGGUUGUAAACUGCUUUUGUACGGAACGAAACGGUUCUCUCUAAUACAGGGGGCUAAUGACGGUACCGUAAGAAUAAGCACCGGCUAACUACGUGCCAGCAGCCGCGGUAAUACGUAGGGUGCAAGCGUUAAUCGGAAUUACUGGGCGUAAAGCGUGCGCAGGCGGUUUUGUAAGACAGAGGUGAAAUCCCCGGGCUCAACCUGGGAACUGCCUUUGUGACUGCAAGGCUGGAGUGCGGCAGAGGGGGAUGGAAUUCCGCGUGUAGCAGUGAAAUGCGUAGAUAUGCGGAGGAACACCGAUGGCGAAGGCAAUCCCCUGGGCCUGCACUGACGCUCAUGCACGAAAGCGUGGGGAGCAAACAGGAUUAGAAACCCGUGUAGUCC
Molecule: ribosomal RNA, 450 nt
Filed under: uncultured bacterium
Lineage: Bacteria
Description: partial 16S ribosomal RNA
Rfam family: Bacterial small subunit ribosomal RNA
Source: RNAcentral